Molecule: ribosomal RNA, 433 nt
Filed under: uncultured bacterium
Lineage: Bacteria
Description: partial 16S ribosomal RNA
Rfam family: Bacterial small subunit ribosomal RNA
Source: RNAcentral
AACGAACGCUGGCGGCAUCCCUAACACAUGCAAGUCGAACGAGACCUUCGGGUCUAGUGGCGCACGGGUGCGUAACGCGUGGGAACCUGCCCUUAGGUUCGGAAUAACUCCCCGAAAGGGGUGCUAAUACCGGAUAAUGUCUUCGGACCAAAGAUUUAUCGCCUUUGGAUGGGCCCGCGUUGGAUUAGCUAGUUGGUAGGGUAAAAGCCUACCAAGGCGACGAUCCAAAGCUGGUCUGAGAGGAUGAUCAGCCACACUGGGACUGAGACACGGCCCAGACUCCUACGGGAGGCAGCAGUGGGGAAUAUUGGACAAUGGGCGAAAGCCUGAUCCAGCAAUGCCGCGUGAGUGAUGAAGGCCUUAGGGUUGUAAAGCUCUUUUACCCGGGAUGAUAAUGACAGUACCGGGAGAAUAAGCUCCGGCUAACUCCGUG